GGGGUUGUAGCUCAGUGGUAGAGCACUUGCCUAGCAUGUGUGAGACACUGGGUUUGAUCCUCAGCACCCCA
This 71-nucleotide transfer RNA is filed under the name Ictidomys tridecemlineatus (thirteen-lined ground squirrel). RNAcentral describes it as "Spermophilus tridecemlineatus (thirteen-lined ground squirrel) tRNA". It matches the Rfam family "tRNA". Rfam says of the family: Transfer RNA (tRNA) molecules are approximately 80 nucleotides in length. Their secondary structure includes four short double-helical elements and three loops (D, anti-codon, and T loops). The record is from Rfam by way of RNAcentral. Lineage: Eukaryota; Metazoa; Chordata; Mammalia; Rodentia; Sciuridae.